This 597-nucleotide small RNA is filed under the name Pan troglodytes (chimpanzee). Its description in RNAcentral is "retained intron". The record is from RNAcentral. Lineage: Eukaryota; Metazoa; Chordata; Mammalia; Primates; Hominidae.
AGUGGCAAACAUAGCACGGACUAAUGCCACGAACAACAUGAAUCUAAGCCGAAGCAGCAGUGAUAACAACACUAAUACUUUGGGGAGGAAUGUGAUGAGCACAGCAACUUCUCCUCUUAUGGGUGCUCAGAGUUUCCCUAAUUUGACCACACCUGGUACUACAUCAACAGUGACUAUGUCAACAUCCAGUGUUACUAGCAGCAGCAAUGUAGCUACAGCAACAACAGUUUUAUCAGUUGGUCAAUCUUUAAGUAACACUUUAACCACCAGCCUCACAUCAACUUCCAGUGAGAGUGACACAGGUCAGGAAGCAGAAUAUUCCUUAUAUGGUAAGUUGUAAUUUAAAAUGAAAGUAUUUAGAUACUUUCAUAAUGAUGCUUUUAUUAUGUUUUCUCCCGAUAUUUUAAACUUUUGUUUAAAGAGAAUUAUUCUCUCUUCUUAUAAAUAUGAAAUCUUUGGGCCAGGCACAGUAGCUCUCACACCUGUAAUCCCAGCACUUUGGGAGGCCGAGGCAGGUGGAUCAGUUGAGGUCAGGAGUUCGAGACCAGCCUGACCAACAUGGUAAAACCCCAUUUCUACUAAAAAUACAAAAGAAAA